This 253-nucleotide ribosomal RNA is filed under the name uncultured bacterium. RNAcentral describes it as "partial 16S ribosomal RNA". It matches the Rfam family "Bacterial small subunit ribosomal RNA", at positions 524 to 776 of the family's 1533-position model. The record is from RNAcentral.
UACGUAGGGUGCGAGCGUUGUCCGGAAUUAUUGGGCGUAAAGAGCUUGUAGGCGGUUUGUCGCGUCUGCUGUGAAAAUCCGGGGCUCAACCCCGGACUUGCAGUGGGUACGGGCAGACUAGAGUGUGGUAGGGGAGACUGGAAUUCCUGGUGUAGCGGUGAAAUGCGCAGAUAUCAGGAGGAACACCGGUGGCGAAGGCGGGUCUCUGGGCCGAUAUUGACGCUGAGGAGCGAAAGCGUGGGGAGCGAACAGG